UACGGAGGGUGCAAGCGUUAUCCGGAUUCACUGGGUUUAAAGGGUGCGUAGGCGGAUAGGUAAGUCCGUGGUGAAAUCCUGCAGCUUAACUGCAGAACUGCCAUGGAUACUAUUUAUCUUGAAUGUCGUGGAGGUUAGCAGAAUAUGUCAUGUAGCGGUGAAAUGCUUAGAUAUGACAUAGAACACCAAUUGCGAAGGCAGCUCGCUACACGAAUAUUGACUCUGAGGCACGAAAGCGUGGGGAUCAAACAGG
This 253-nucleotide ribosomal RNA is filed under the name uncultured bacterium. Its description in RNAcentral is "partial 16S ribosomal RNA". It matches the Rfam family "Bacterial small subunit ribosomal RNA", at positions 524 to 776 of the family's 1533-position model. The record is from RNAcentral.